Molecule: long non-coding RNA, 1118 nt
Organism: Panicum virgatum (switchgrass)
Lineage: Eukaryota; Viridiplantae; Streptophyta; Magnoliopsida; Poales; Poaceae
Exons: 2
Source: RefSeq, a predicted model, not a curated record
CCUUUUGAUUUUUGAAGCAGAGUUCAGGACUACAGGUUAUAAUUCCAUUGCUCAGAAAGUUACAAAAAACUAUCAUUAUAAGAAGAAGAAUGCCAAUAAUACAUAUUGGUUACAACAGACCCUUCUAUAAUAAACAAACACAAAGAAGGUGCUUAGUAUAAUACACAUACAACAUGAGUUUACAACAAGGAAACUGACACUGAAAUGGGCACAUGGUCCAAUAAAUGAAGGGACUUAAGAAGCUGAAACCACUAACAUUCGCAAAAGCCAAAAUUCAAAUCCAUGUGAUCGAAGAUUAUAUCACCAGAGGACUAGCCACUAGGAGCUUCAGACCAAAGCAAUACACUAAUCUGAGAAGACCUUGAGGUACCACCACCACAGAUAAACACACAGCAGUAGCACACCAGUAAGGAAGAACUGUACUCGGGAGAAUCUUCAAGCAGAUGGUUUCACAUGAAACUAGCACUAAACCACACUGCACAAUGGCAAUCAAAACCCACAUUCUCAACUUCCUUGAAAUCGUGCCUUUCAAACAAGCUGACUAAGUGAUAAUUAAAGACCAACAACACCGUAGAACCCUCUCCAUGAGCAUGUCAGUAGUACUGAAUCAAAAUCUUGUCCUUACUGCCACAUAAAGCAUCACUAAGUCAACCAUGAAACAUACAGUGCAUGGAUCCGCUUAUAUACCUCGCAACCACCAUCAAAUAAUCCAACCGAUACUGCAUGCGGAACUUAACAGCAAAUUGACACCACAUAGAGGUAAAUUCCGAACUCCUAAGCAACCAUAUCUUAUCUUCACUACUAAACUUCUGAUGAAACUGACAACCAUGAGGGGGAACAUGCCAGAUGCAAAAACUGCAGAAUCUUGAGGACUCCACUUAUUCCAGUAACAGUCAUCAGAUCACAAAAAUUAGGCGUAUGAACAAAUUAUCCUGAUCCGACCAAUAACCAUGUAGACCAGAGGCAGAUGGAGAACAAACACUUCAAAUUAUCCUGUUUAGGUUAAGCCCAAACAUCCCGGGUUACUCAAUUAAACUGAUCUGACCUUGGACAGAAAUCGAAACAAGAAUUGCAGAACCCUAGACCUCGAAUCGAACGGAUCCAUUAACCCCAAAAUA